UACGAAGGGGGCUAGCGUUGCUCGGAAUCACUGGGCGUAAAGCGCACGUAGGCGGAUCUUUAAGUCAGGGGUGAAAUCCCGGAGCUCAACUCCGGAACUGCCUUUGAUACUGAGGAUCUCGAGUCCGGGAGAGGUGAGUGGAACUGCGAGUGUAGAGGUGAAAUUCGUAGAUAUUCGCAAGAACACCAGUGGCGAAGGCGGCUCACUGGCCCGGUACUGACGCUGAGGUGCGAAAGCGUGGGGAGCAAACAGGAUUAGAUACCCCCGUAGUCC
Molecule: ribosomal RNA, 273 nt
Filed under: uncultured bacterium
Lineage: Bacteria
Description: partial 16S ribosomal RNA
Rfam family: Bacterial small subunit ribosomal RNA
Source: RNAcentral